RNAcentral lists this non-coding RNA (221 nucleotides) under Bacillus sp. (in: firmicutes). RNAcentral's name for it is "Bacillus sp. T-box sequence". It matches the Rfam family "T-box leader". Rfam says of the family: Uncharged tRNA acts as the effector for transcription antitermination of genes in the T-box leader family. T-boxes are found upstream of many aminoacyl-tRNA synthetase genes and some amino acid biosynthetic genes usually in Gram-positive bacteria. The anticodon of a specific tRNA base pairs to a specifier sequence within the T-box motif, and the NCCA acceptor tail of the tRNA base pairs to a conserved bulge in the T-box antiterminator hairpin. Lineage: Bacteria; Bacillati; Bacillota; Bacilli; Caryophanales; Bacillaceae. The record is from RNAcentral.
AUAGGAGCGUUGAUCAGGAAGAGUAAAGUUGCUGUAUCUGUAGAGAGGAGGGUCCAUGGCUGGAAGACCUUCUAGAAUAACAGAACUUGAAUGUCACCUGGGAGCUGUUUUGCUGAAAAAAGUAGGCAAAACCGGUUUAAACCGUUAUUUUAUUCGAGUUGCUCAGCACGAAUGUUGCUGUGAACAAAGGUGGUACCGCGAACAAACCCUUCGUCCUUUGA